RNAcentral lists this long non-coding RNA (504 nucleotides) under Gouania willdenowi (blunt-snouted clingfish). Its description in RNAcentral is "lncRNA (ENSGWIG00000006986.1)". Lineage: Eukaryota; Metazoa; Chordata; Actinopteri; Blenniiformes; Gobiesocidae. The record is from RNAcentral.
AUGCACACACUUUUCCGACUCAAAAUCCCUGGACCCAGUAGAGUCUGGAGAAUAUUUUGUGGCCUAUUGAUCAGUAAGAUGUGGGCCUCAGAACAGCACGUUCAGCCGGAACAGACUUUUUUUUACUGGCCUGAGGAUUAUGAUGACGGGUACGGGGCCCAACAAAUAAAUGGCCAGUACAUUGCCCAACUGCUUCAGGACCAAACAACGUUCACUGACGACCAUGACGGGGCUCCAACCUAUGCAGACCUGACAACCAUUGAUGUCUUGUCUAUUGCAGAGGACUGCCACCCACAAAAUCCUUGCCCUACAACCAUCAACCCCAUUCCUAAUGAUGUGCACAUGCAGGCCCAACAACAUAUUGAGCUCCAAACCUUCAUCCCAUCGGCUGUGUCUGCUAUGACAGUAAGAUCUCUGUUUAACACAGUUCUUAAUGUAUUUCUGUAGAUCUUUGUAUUGAUACUAUGAUGGGAACUCUAAUAUUCACAUGUUUUUGUGUCUCCA